Molecule: ribosomal RNA, 310 nt
Filed under: uncultured bacterium
Lineage: Bacteria
Description: bacterial SSU rRNA
Rfam family: Bacterial small subunit ribosomal RNA
Source: RNAcentral
AUUGAACGCUGGCGGCAUGCCUAACACAUGCAAGUCGAACGGUAACAGACGAGAGCUUGCUCUUGUGCUGACGAGUGGCGGACGGGUGAGUAAUACGUAGGGAUCUGCCUCAUAGAGGGGGACAACUAGGGGAAACCCUAGCUAAUACCGCAUAUGUUCUACGGAAUAAAGGCUGGGACCUUCGGGCCAGUCACUAUGAGAUGAACCUACGUCCGAUUAGCUUGUUGGUGGGGUAAAGGCCUACCAAGGCGACGAUCGGUAGCUGUUCUGAGAGGAUGAUCAGCCACACUGGGACUGAGACACGGCCCAG